UGGGGAAUAUUGGACAAUGGGGGCAACCCUGAUCCAGCAAUGCCGCGUGUGUGAAGAAGGCCUUCGGGUUGUAAAGCACUUUAGGUGGGGAAGAAGGUGUGCAGUUUAAGAGAUAGCACAUUUGACGGUACCUGCAGAAUAAGCACCGGCUAACUCUGUGCCAGCAGCCGCGGUAAUACAGAGGGUGCGAGCGUUAAUCGGAAUUACUGGGCGUAAAGGGCGCGUAGGCGGUUAUAUAAGUGAGAUGUGAAAUCCUUGGGCUUAACCUAGGAACUGCAUUUUAUACUGUAUGACUGGAGUACUGUAGAGGGUAGUGGAAUUUCCGGUGUAGCGGUGAAAUGCGUAGAUAUCGGAAGGAACACCAGUGGCGAAGGCGGCUACCUGGACAGAUACUGACGCUGAGGCGCGAGAGCGUGGGGAGCAAACAGGAUUAGAUACCCUGGUAGUCCACGCUGUAAACGAUGAGAACUAGAUGUUGGCAGGCUUGACCUGUUAGUAUCGAAGCUAACGCGAUAAGUUCUCCGCCUGGGGAGUACGGCCGCAAGGUUAA
RNAcentral lists this ribosomal RNA (550 nucleotides) under uncultured Gammaproteobacteria bacterium. Its description in RNAcentral is "bacterial SSU rRNA". It matches the Rfam family "Bacterial small subunit ribosomal RNA", at positions 355 to 897 of the family's 1533-position model. Lineage: Bacteria; Pseudomonadati; Pseudomonadota; Gammaproteobacteria. The record is from RNAcentral.